AGAAGAAGAAAGAGAGGGAGAGAGAGGGCAAUUUAAAAAGCGUAUGUAGGUGUUUGCCUGGCCCAACAGCUUACCUAUAGUAUUUAGUGCAUGUGUAUCAGGGUCUGGGAGGAAAAGCACCACCAGGCAUGACGCGGGUCAGGGCAGGGCAUGACUGGGACUUCCCUGUGUGGUCUCUGCCUGCACAGGUCCUUUGGGCUCUGGUGGGGGACCAGGCCUGGGUAGGCAGCACCACUAGCUAUUCUCUGCCCCUCCUUGGUGGCCCUGCAGAGGGUGUGGGUCAGUCCCCUGCAAUAACCUGGCCCCUGUGCAAAGGUGUUUUUCAGAGGCAUCACUGUGAACGCGGUGCGGGGCUUCCCAAUGAGUGCGGCCAUGUUCCUUGGGUACGAGCUGUCGCUGCAGGCUAUCCGCGGGGACCACACAGUGACGAGCCCAUGAGCGCCAGGUCUUUGCUCAGGCUGUCCCCUCUGCCUGACAUCCUCUUCUCGCUCCUUUCCUACUUGUCCUUGGCUUCACCAGCUCUUUGCCAUCCAGGCUGUAGAAGUCUCCUCCUCCAGGAUGCCGGCUUGCUUUCUCAGCUAGGGGUCUCAUCCCAUUAACAGGUCAAUGCUAAAAGUGUCUGCAGAACCCAUGAUGUGAAUUUACUGAAGAGAAAGACUCUCCACCAGGUGGGCUUUCAGCCAGGCAGGCUGUCCUCAGAACCUCUUCCUUCCUUCACAAUUACAAGCAUUCUCAUCCCCACCCCGGCUGGGGCAGCGGAGCUUCUGCCUUGGAGGGAUUCAACUGACCAUUGGUCAACUGAUCACCAACUAUUCCAGCUUUGGACCUGCACCUGGUAACAAACAAACGAACAGAACAAAACAAAACUGGAGUAAAAUAGACCCUCCCCCCAUGGCCAUUGUAAACUCACUGUGAAUUCAUGGAAGAGCUGGAGUUGGCUCUAAGUUUCAAAAUAAAAGCAUUAAAAACCUCUUCACAUUGUUUCUCUGUCAGAUGCCUCUGCCUAGCUUCCAAGAAGCACCUGGCCACUGUCAUUCCUCUCUCUCUGUUCAGGCCUCUGUGGGUGUUGCAG
This 1072-nucleotide long non-coding RNA is filed under the name Pan troglodytes (chimpanzee). RNAcentral's name for it is "long non-coding RNA NONPTRT013740". Lineage: Eukaryota; Metazoa; Chordata; Mammalia; Primates; Hominidae. The record is from RNAcentral.